AUACGGUGAAACUGCGAAUGGCUCAUUAAAUCAGUUAUCGUUUAUUUGAUAGUACCUUACUACAUGGGAUAACCGUGGUAAUUCUAGAGCUAAUACAUGCUAAAAACCUCGACUUCGGAAGGGGUGUAUUUAUUAGAUAAAAAACCAAUGCCCUUCGGGGCUCCUUGGUGAUUCAUAAUAACUUAACGAAUCGCAUGGCCUUGCGCCGGCGAUGGUUCAUUCAAAUUUCUGCCCUAUCAACUUUCGAUGGUAGGAUAGGUACGUUGCGUCUUCGGGGGGUUUGGUAGGAUAUACGCUGACAUCUUUUAGUGGCCUACCAUGGUUUCUACGGGUAAGUCGUUGCCCGUAGUGCACCGAUUUAGUCGCGCUAACGCGUGGCAACACCACUGGUUCAGAGGAUGCCCCGGGCGAUCGCAGGAUCGUUUCGGGGCUGAUUCUGGGGCGAGCCGUUGUGGCCGCCCAAACGCCUGGUAAGUGGUGAGCCCUGGAUAUGCCAGGGCUUUCGAUACAUGCUCGUCCACCCGUUCAAGCGGGUCUGGCUGGUGCCCCGGCUCCCGGAGGCCCGGCCAGUCAUGGAAUGUGCGAACGGGGAAUUAGGGUUUGUUCAAUCUUCUCGUUGCUUAACUGCAUCCGCUAACAUCGUCCCACAGGUUCUAUUCCGGAGAGGGAGCCUGAGAAACGGCUACCACAUCCAAGGAAGGCAGCAGGCGCGCAAAUUACCCAAUCCCGACACGGGGAGGUAGUGACAAUAAAUACUGAUCGGGAGCUCUUUUGGGUUUCCGAAUCGGAAUGAGUACAAUUUAAAUCCCUUAACGAGGAACAAUUGGAGGGCAAGUCUGGUGGUGAAAACCUUAGCUUGGCGGUGUUGUACGCCGCCAGCUGGCGCCAGACGUUUCCAGUGGGUGCGAUUGCAUCUGCGAGGUAUCCGGCACGGGGAACUGGCGUCGUCUCGGCGAGCCUCAUCCCGUGGCCAGGGGCGUUGUCCCUGGCCUUAACGCGCGCAAGGCUACCGGUGCGUUCCCCCGUUCGCAUUUCAGGUACGUGCUAAUCCCGCCGUAUCGGCAUGGGCCCUCCUCCCAGGGGAGUCCCAGUAGGGUAGUGGUGGCCAGCAGCCGCGGUAAUUCCAGCUCCAAUAGCGUAUAUUAAAGUUGUUGCAGUUAAAAAGCUCGUAGUUGAAACUUGGGCCUGGCUGUCCGGUCCGCCUCACCGCGUGCACUGGUUCGGCCGGGCCUUUCCUUCUGGGGAGCCGCAUGCCCUUUAUUGGGUGUGCCGGGGAACCAGGACUUUUACUUUGAAAAAAUUAGAGUGUUCAAAGCAGGCCUAUGCUCGAAUACAUUAGCAUGGAAUAAUAGAAUAGGACGUGUGGUUCUAUUUUGUUGGUUUCUAGGACCGCCGUAAUGAUUAAUAGGGAUAGUCGGGGGCGUCUGUAUUCCAUUGUCAGAGGUGAAAUUCUUGGAUUUAUGGAAGACAAACUACUGCGAAAGCAUUCGCCAAGGAUGUUUUCAUUAAUCAGGGAACGAAAGUUAGGGGAUCGAAGACGAUCAGAUACCGUCGUAGUCUUAACCAUAAACUAUGCCGACUAGGGAUCGGACGGUGUUAUUAUUUUGACCCGUUCGGCACCUUACGAGAAAUCAAAGUCUUUGGGUUCUGGGGGGAGUAUGGUCGCAAGGCUGAAACUUAAAGACAUUGACGGAAGGGCACCACCAGGCAAGCUUGACGCCGGGUUAGAAUGUUGUACUUAGUCGCGCCGACGGCGAGGUUCCUGAUUUGCGUGGAUCGUCCCUAAGACGUACCCGCAGCCGCCGCCAAGAUAGCUAGAUCGCUUGGGCGGAUGGUUCACAGAUCAAGUUGGAGCCGGCGAGCCCGGGGAAGCCCCCCAGGCUCGCUAAUGAUAUGAUCGGCCCCGGAGAGCCUUAUCUCCGGGAGCCAGUGCGUGGAGCCUGCGGCUUAAUUUGACUCAACACGGGGAAACUCACCAGGUCCAGAUUUGAUAAGGAUUGACAGAUUGAGAGCUCUUUCUUGAUUUCAAAGGUGGUACGUACAUGCGCUGCCACCUAGAGCCACGUAGCUAGUCUGCUAACCAGCGGGCAACAUUCCCGUAGUGUUGAAAGGUUCCCGGUCGCGCCCGGGAACCAUCAGCAGCCGGCCGGUCCCAUGGGGCAGGCACGGUUCACAGACUACACGGGGGUGGGCCGGAGCUCGCCGAGUGCGCGCACGGUUCUUAGAUAUAGUCGGCCCCGGGGGGUGAUCCCCGGGCUGUUGCGGGUGCAUGGCCGUUCUUAGUUGGUGGAGUGAUUUGUCUGCUUAAUUGCGAUAACGAACGAGACCUUAACCUGCUAAAUAGCCCGGUCAGCUUUGGCUGGCCGCUGGCUUCUUAGAGGGACUAUCGGCUCAAGCCGAUGGAAGUUUGAGGCAAUAACAGGUCUGUGAUGCCCUAGACACCUCUAGGGGCUUACUCGAGUCUGGGGGUUCACCACAGGUGAUCCCCGCCAGGCAACGCCUUUAGUCCGCGGGGAGCCUUACGCUACCUGCGUGCGCUCAAUACAGCGCUCCAGAGACUAGACAGAGGUGGGGGUGUCGCCGAGCGAUGCUCUUUAGAUAUAGUCCGAUGCUGCGCCCGGCCAGGGCGCAGACGUGUAUGUAGAUGUUCUGGGCCGCACGCGCGCUACACUGACAGAGACAACGAGUUCAUCACCUUGGCCGGAAGGUCUGGGUAAUCUUGUUAAACUCUGUCGUGCUGGGGAUAGAGCAUUGCAAUUAUUGCUCUUCAACGAGGAAUGCCUAGUAAGCGCAAGUCAUCAGCUUGCGUUGAUUACGUCCCUGCCCUUUGUACACACCGCCCGUCGCUACUACCGAUUGAAUGGCUCAGUGAGGCCUUCGGACUGGCCCCAGGAGGUCGGCAACGACCACCCAGGGCCGGAAAGUUGGUCAAACUUGGUCAUUUAGAGGAAGUAAAAGUCGUAACAAGGUUUCCGUAGGUUUAGACCCCCGGGUUCGCCUACGGAUGCCCUCGUCGACUCUAAACAACCGUCUAGUCGAUCGCCCCGGGCGAUCGGCCACGCAGUUAUUCUGGCUGGAAGCCGCCCAUGUGGGCAGUAACCAGCAGCUCCCGCACUUCUGCAGUGGAGUUCACAGAUCAAAUACCUGCGGCCGUGCUAGGCACGGUUCUGAUAUGACCGGACCCCGCCCGUAACGGUGGUGAAUGUCGGAACCUGCGGAAGGAUCAUUA
RNAcentral lists this ribosomal RNA (3229 nucleotides) under Hyperphyscia adglutinata. Its description in RNAcentral is "partial 18S ribosomal RNA". The stretch from base 1030 to 3229 matches the Rfam family "Eukaryotic small subunit ribosomal RNA". Lineage: Eukaryota; Fungi; Ascomycota; Lecanoromycetes; Caliciales; Physciaceae. The record is from RNAcentral.